This 845-nucleotide unclassified non-coding RNA is filed under the name Hevea brasiliensis (rubber tree). Lineage: Eukaryota; Viridiplantae; Streptophyta; Magnoliopsida; Malpighiales; Euphorbiaceae. The record is from RNAcentral.
UAUUUUUUUUUUUUUAUAUAUAAUUUUUUAAAUCUUCCUCUUUGCCAGAAUUAAGAUAAUAUAUAUGCUUUUAGCUUUUGAAUCAUGUUUUCCCUCAGAUUUGCAUUUCGUUUAAGAAGAAAUUUGGCAUCUUUUACCUAUUUUCUGUAAUGCUCUAUUUAAUUACCAAUUCGGAGGAAGUGGCUUGAUAAUUGACUUUCUCGUUGAAAACGAUUCUCUUUUAUGUUUUUAAUGGUAAAUUUUUAUGUCUUUGUUUUCUACCAUAUCGAUUUUCGUUGGUUUAGUUAUGAUAAUCUAAUUCAUAAUUAAAACUUCACAAUUUGGCAUUAAAUGGGUUCAAAUUUGAAAACGUAAUUUGUAAGAACGAGGUCAUCGAUCCUUAAAUUAAAUAUGUAUAUUUCCUAAUUCACCUUGCAUGAAUUUCAUAAUAAAUAUUUGAUUUAACCGUAGUUGAACUCGUUCUUAUACUAAAUUUUGCACCCAUUUGAAAAAGAAAGAAAAGAGUAUGCUUUUUUCAUAAAUGUCUCCAGGGAAAGGGCAGUAAAGUUUAGAGGGAAUCAUCGAGUGUUUGUUUGAUCAGUUCUUGUCUGUUUCAUGUUGCCAUCUUAAUGUGAAAUUCAUCAAGGUGAUUCAUAUUAACAAUUGUAACAUGAUAGAUUAUAGAUGGACUCUGCAACUUGUUGGUUUGCAACUUUGCUUUGCUGUUAUUCUUCCUCCUAUCUUUUCUGAUGCACUGUGAGUUGAUGCAGAAACUGAAGACUAAAGUGGUGAAAAGAAACUGCAAUCCUGAAUGGAAUGAAGAACUAACUCUUUCCAUUACAGAUGUCAAUGCUCCAAUAAAAUUA